This 1405-nucleotide long non-coding RNA is filed under the name Gouania willdenowi (blunt-snouted clingfish). Its description in RNAcentral is "lncRNA (ENSGWIG00000004463.1)". The record is from RNAcentral. Lineage: Eukaryota; Metazoa; Chordata; Actinopteri; Blenniiformes; Gobiesocidae.
GUCCACUACUGUCUACCCACGUGUUGUCCGUCGCAGGACAGUGACGUCACACGCGUGAACAGCUGAUCGUGUCUCUUUAACGUCGCGCCACGAAUCCCACGCGAGUUUCACCUUGUUACGAACCCGGAGAUCCACGGAAACAACCGAGUCUAAACCCAAUACUUGCUCGGAGUCGGAACAGAGAAGCUUCUAUAGAUCCAGGUUCCCUGUGCAGGACGGGUCCCGCCUACAGCAGAGGCUGAAGAACAUGGGACUGGAGGACCGGACCCCGACACGACACCAACACUCCGACCCGUCUUGUUCCAGAACGCGCCGGGGCUUCCGCUGCACGGAGAAAAACACCCUUCCCACCGCCUUCCAGGAGUGUGAGGAGAAAAGGAAAGCCACAGAUCUGAUGGACAGGCAGGCAAAGCGGUUUCACGUGGACGCAGAUGAAAACAGGAUGAGGUCAGACGGAGAGGUCGAUAACGUGGACUGUUCGCUUACAUCUACCAGUGCAGAGUUUUCCCUCCUGGAAUCAGGGAUCCACUUCCCCUUAACGUUCCUUCAGACGGUAGAGAACGAGGAGGAGAACACACAGGUUCUAGUGAUGACUGAGGACCAGGACCAGCUGCUGACCGCCAUUGCCUCGGCUCUGUCGGCCCACGGCCACCGUCUGGUCCUGACCCACGGGUUGGAGGACGGUGAGUCUGAGGGUCAGGUGAUCUCCCUCUACCAGACGAGUCCACAGCUCGGCUUCUCCUCCGACACCGUGUUGGCGUCAGCUCUGAGCUCACAUCCAAUCACGUCCACUCUGCCCAUCGUGUCCAAUCACGUGGCUCCGCCCACUAUCAGUAAGGACGAGGGAGACGAGGAGCGGUCGGAGGACGAAGACCCAGAACCGUCACUGGAUCAGAAACUGGAGGAGCACAGCUACCACAGGAGCAGCGUGACCAAGGAGCAGCUGCAGCGUACGGUGCGUGAGCUGCAGCAACAGGUCAAAGUUCUGCAGCAGCAGCAAGUAGAGCAGCUUCUGUGUUUAGAGAACGCAGUGACUCAGCUGAAACACAACGACCUGCUCAACCAGGAGAGACUGCAGCUGCUGGAGAGGGUUUACCUACAGAGCGGUACAGGUGCGCUGGACGCAGGAGAGACCGUGACCAUCAUCUAUGAAGAGGAGAACGGCUCGUAUCUGUGGCCGAGCUGUGGAUCUGUGAAGCUCAACACUCCUUAGCUUAGCUUAGCUUAGCUUAGCGUUUCCUUUAAUCAGAUUUCUACGACUGUGUCAGUUUUGCACUAUUAUUUUUGUCCUCAUAUUUGAGCUUGGAUGAUAAACGAAGGCUUGUGUGUGUGACCUUUAAUGAUUUAGUUUAAUUUUCUCAAACUAAACAAUAAAAAUUGUGAUUUGAACGAUAAGGAUGAAUGU